GCUCCGAUGGCCAAGCGGUAAGGCGCGUCACUUGUAAUGACGAGAUCCGUGGUUCAAAUCCGCGUCGGAGCU
Non-coding RNA from Tricharina praecox, 72 nucleotides. Lineage: Eukaryota; Fungi; Ascomycota; Pezizomycetes; Pezizales; Pyronemataceae. The record is from the annotation of a RefSeq genome assembly.